RNAcentral lists this ribosomal RNA (393 nucleotides) under uncultured bacterium. RNAcentral's name for it is "partial 16S ribosomal RNA". It matches the Rfam family "Bacterial small subunit ribosomal RNA", at positions 523 to 918 of the family's 1533-position model. The record is from RNAcentral.
AUACGGAGGAUCCGGGCGUUAUCCGGAUUUAUUGGGUUUAAAGGGUGCGCAGGCGGGAGAUUAAGUCGGCGGUGAAAUUUUGCAGCUCAACUGUAAAAGUGCCUUCGAAACUGGUUUCCUUGAGUGUAGAUGAAGUAGGCGGAAUUUGUGGUGUAGCGGUGAAAUGCAUAGAUAUCACGAGGAACUCCGAUUGCGCAGGCAGCUUACUAAACUACUACUGACGCUCAGGCACGAAGGCGUGGGGAUCAAACAGGAUUAGAUACCCUGGUAGUCCACGCAGUAAACGAUGAUUACUAGCUGUUUGCGAUACAAUGUAAGCGGCUGAGCGAAAGCGUUAAGUAAUCCACCUGGGGAGCACGUUCGCAAGAAUGAAACUCAAAGGAAUUGACGGGG